Molecule: ribosomal RNA, 497 nt
Filed under: uncultured bacterium
Lineage: Bacteria
Description: partial 16S ribosomal RNA
Rfam family: Bacterial small subunit ribosomal RNA
Source: RNAcentral
GACGAACGCUGGCGGCGUGCCUAAUACAUGCCAGUUGAGCGCUGAAGGUUGGUACUUGUACCGACUGGAUGAGCAGCGCACGGGUGUGUAACGCGUGGGGCAUCUGCCUUUGAGCGGGGGACAACCUUUGGAAACGAAUGCUAAUACCGCAUAAAAACUUUAAACACAAGUUUUAAGUUUGAAAUAUGCAAUUGCAUCACUCAAAGAUGAUCCCGCGUUGUAUUAGCUAGUUGGUGAGGUAAAGGCUCACCAAGGCGGUGAUACAUAGCCGACCUGAGAGGGUGAUCGGCCACAUUGAGACUGAGACACGGCACAAACGCAUACGGGAGGCAGCAGUAGGGAAUCUUCGGCAAGGGGCGAAAGUCUGACCGAGCAACGCCGAGUGAGGGAAGAAGGUUUUCGGAUCGUAAAACUCGGUUGGUAGAGAAGAAAGUUGGUGAGAGUGGAAAGCUCAUCAAGUGACGGUAACUAGUAAGAAAGGGACGGCUAACUACGUG